RNAcentral lists this ribosomal RNA (2870 nucleotides) under Alistipes inops. Its description in RNAcentral is "bacterial LSU rRNA". It matches the Rfam family "Bacterial large subunit ribosomal RNA". The record is from RNAcentral. Lineage: Bacteria; Pseudomonadati; Bacteroidota; Bacteroidia; Bacteroidales; Rikenellaceae.
AAGAAAGUAAUUAAGGGCGAAUGGGGGAUGCCUAGGCUCUUGGAGGCGAAGAAGGACGUGGUAAGCUGCGAAAAGCUGCGGGGAUUUGCAAACGAGACUUGAUCCGCAGAUAUCCGAAUGGGACAACCCGGCUGGCAGGAGGCCAGUCACACCGUAAGGUGGGCUAACCCUCUGAACUGAAACAUCUAAGUAGGAGGAGGAGAAGAAAGAAACAUCGAUUUCCUGAGUAGCGGCGAGCGAAAGGGAAGAAGCCUAAACCGACGUUGUUACGGCAAUGUCGGGGUUGUAGGACUGCGGGAUUCGAUACUGAGAGAACCGGAACGGUUUUGGAAAAGCCGGCCGAAGAGCAUGAAAGCUGCGUACGGGUAAUCGAGGUAAAGAAGGCAGUAUCCUGAGUAGGGCGGGACACGAGGAAUCCUGUCUGAAUCUGCCGGGACCACCCGGUAAGGCUAAAUACUACCAAGAGACCGAUAGUGAACCAGUACUGUGAAGGAAAGGUGAAAAGUACCCCGAACAGGGGAGUGAAAUAGAACCUGAAACCGUUCGCCUACAAUCGGUCGGAGCCACUUCGUGUGGUGACGUCGUGCCUUUUGCAUAAUGAGCCUACGAGUUACUGAUCACUAGCGAGGUUAAGUGGCAGGAGUCACGGAGCCGAAGCGAAAGCGAGUCUGAAUAGGGCGUAUAGUUAGUGGUCGUAGACGCGAAACCUUGCGAUCUACCCUUGGCCAAGAUGAAGUUCGGGUAACACCGAAUGGAGGUCUGCACCGAUAAGCGUUGAAAAGCUUCCGGAUGAGCUGAGGGUAGGGGUGAAAGGCUAAUCAAGCUGGGAAAUAGCUCGUACUCCCCGAAAUGCUUUUAGGAGCAGCGUUUUAAUAGUCUACUGGAGGUAGAGCUACUGAUUGGAUGCGGGGGCUUCACCGCCUACCAAAUCCUGACAAACUCCGAAUGCCAGUAGAAUGAUUUAGAGCAGUGAGCGGCUGGGUGCUAAUGUCCGGCCACGAGAGAGGAACAACUCAGACCAGCAGCUAAGGCCCCGAAGAGUAUACUAAGUUGAACUAACGAUGUGCGACUGCAGCGACAGCUAGGAUGUUAGCUUGGAAGCAGCUAUUCAUUUAAAGAGUGCGUAACAGCUCACUAGUCGAGCGGUUGUGCGUGGAUAAUAAACGGGCAUCAAGUAUACCGCCGAAGCUCUGGGAUCUACGGAUCGGUAGGGGAGCAUUCCAUUCGCGUCGAAGUUGUAGCGUGAGCUAUGGUGGAGCGUAUGGAAAAGCAAAUGUAGGCAUAAGUAACGAUAAGGCGGGCGAGAAACCCGCCCACCGCAAGACCAAGGUUUCCUGAUCAACGUUAAUCGGAUCAGGGUUAGUCGGGACCUAAGGAUAAGCCGAAAGGUGAUUUCGAUGGACAAUCGGUUAAUAUUCCGAUACUGAUAUGGACUGCGACGGAGAGACGAAGGGGCGUAAGCCACGCCAACUGACGGAAUAGUUGGUUAAAGGAUGUAGGUAAAUCGGGAGGUUAAGAGCUUUCUGAUGCUGAAAUCCGACAGUACCGCAAGCCUACGGGUGAGCGGAUAGUUGGCCCAAGCGGACUUCCGAGAAAAACUUCUAAGCUUCAGGUUCAUAUCACCCGUACCGUAAACCGACACAGGUGGUCGAGGAGAGUAUCCUAAGGUGCUCGAGUGAUUCACGGUUAAGGAACUAGGCAAAUUAACCCCGUAACUUCGGAAUAAGGGGUCCCAUCGCAAGAUGGGCGCAGCGAAGAGGUCCAGGCGACUGUUUAGCAAAAACACAGGGCUCUGCAAAUUCGAAAGAAGACGUAUAGGGCCUGACACCUGCCCGGUGCUGGAAGGUUAAGAGGGGAUGUCAUCGCAAGAGAAGCAUUGAAUCGAAGCCCCAGUAAACGGCGGCCGUAACUAUAACGGUCCUAAGGUAGCGAAAUUCCUUGUCGGGUAAGUUCCGACCUGCACGAAUGGUGUAACGAUCUGGACACUGUCUCAACCGUGAGCUCGGUGAAAUUGUAGUCCCGGUGAAGAUGCCGGGUACCCGCAACGGGACGAAAAGACCCCGUGAACCUUUACUGCAGCUUAACGCUGAAUUUGGGUAUACGAUGUGUAGGAUAGGCAGGAGACAAUGAAGCGGGUACGCCAGUAUUCGUGGAGUCAACGUUGAAAUACUGCCCUUUGUGUAUUUGAGUUCUAACCCUGCGAAGGGGACACCGUUUGGUGGGUAGUUUGACUGGGGUGGUCGCCUCCAAAAGCGUAACGGAGGCUUCCCAAGGUACCCUCAGCACGAAUGGUAACCGUGCGUAGAGUGCAAUGGCACAAGGGUGCUUGACUGUGAGACCAACAAGUCGACCAGGUGCGAAAGCAGGGCAUAGUGAUCCGGUGGUUCUGUGUGGACUGGCCAUCGCUCAAAGGAUAAAAGGUACUCCGGGGAUAACAGGCUGAUCGCCGCCAAGAGCUCAUAUCGACGCGGCGGUUUGGCACCUCGAUGUCGGCUCGUCACAUCCUGGGGCUGGAGAAGGUCCCAAGGGUUCGGCUGUUCGCCGAUUAAAGUGGCACGCGAGCUGGGUUCAGAACGUCGUGAGACAGUUCGGUCUCUAUCUGUUGUGGGCGCAGGAAAUUUGAGGGGUCCUGACUUUAGUACGAGAGGACCGAGUUGGACGAACCUCUGGUGUACCGGUUAUGCCGCCAGGUGUACCGCCGGGUAACCACGUUCGGACAGGAUAAGCGCUGAAAGCAUCUAAGCGCGAAGCCUACCCCAAGAUAAGAUUUCCCUAGAGGGUCGUAGGAGACUACUACGUUGAUAGGCCGCAGGUGUAAAGGCAGCAAUGUCAAAGCCGAGCGGUACUAAUUACCCGAACGACUUUCUGCA